UCAUACUAGUCUGUUUUACUGGC
This 23-nucleotide non-coding RNA is filed under the name Cricetulus griseus (Chinese hamster). The record is from RNAcentral. Lineage: Eukaryota; Metazoa; Chordata; Mammalia; Rodentia; Cricetidae.